This 339-nucleotide unclassified non-coding RNA is filed under the name Hevea brasiliensis (rubber tree). Lineage: Eukaryota; Viridiplantae; Streptophyta; Magnoliopsida; Malpighiales; Euphorbiaceae. The record is from RNAcentral.
AAAACUUUCCAUCCACUGUAACCAACAAAAGCAAGUUUAAAUAUAUGUUCCAAGUUUAAAUCUACAACAAUAUUCCAAAAUUUAGAAUUGCAGCAAAUAAGAACUAACUGAAAAAUGAAAAUGUCUAGAAUCAUCAAACACUUAAUUGCUUUUCUAUUCUAUACGCUUCAUUGAGGGGCAGCGAAUUGCAAGCACAAAGAUAAAGGUUUGCAUUGAGAGAAAACAAUUACUGAAAAAUCACAAUGAAGCCUAAUGGUGUCCGAAUUCUCCUUCCUACUACUCCACUUUGGUGAGACUUAUAAUUGAGUAAUGGCGCUUUUCAUGCUUUUACUGAUACUA